AUUGAACGCUGGCGGCAUGCUUUACACAUGCAAGUCGAACGGUAACAGGCCUUCUGGUGCUGACGAGUGGCGCACGGGUGAGUAAUGCAUCGGAACGUACCCAGAGGUGGGGGAUAACGCAGCGAAAGCUGUGCUAAUACUGCAUGUGAUCUGAGGAUGAAAGCGGGGGACCGAGCAGCAAUGUUUGGCCUCGCGCCUUUGGAGCGGCCGAUGUCGGAUUAGCUAGUUGGUGGGGUAAAGGCCUACCAAGGCGACGAUCCGUAGCUGGUCUGAGAGGACGACCAGCCACACUGGGACUGAGACACGGCCCAGGCUCCUACGGGAGGCAGCAGUGGGGAAGUUUGGACAAUGGGGGCAAGCCUGAUCCAGCAAUGCCGCGUGAGGGAAGAAGGCCUUCGGGUUGUAAACCGCUUUUGGCAGGAACGAAACGGUGUCCGCUAAUACCGGGCGCUAAUGACGGUACCUGCAGAAUAAGCACCGGCUAACUACGUG
This 492-nucleotide ribosomal RNA is filed under the name uncultured bacterium. RNAcentral's name for it is "partial 16S ribosomal RNA". It matches the Rfam family "Bacterial small subunit ribosomal RNA", at positions 29 to 507 of the family's 1533-position model. The record is from RNAcentral.